ACACAUCUAAAGAAAAAAAAUGGAAGUUGCUGCUCAAGGUCCCCCCCCGAAGGUAUGUUUUAAUUUUUUUUCCAACCUUUAACCUACGAACAACUCUUCCGGUUCAGGACCUGCUAACAUUAGGUGAGCAGGUAUUAUGUUUGGGUACUCGGAAGCAUGCAUCGCAUUGGGAUUGACGAUCGACUUAUGGGCCCCGGGAUCAUAGCGUAUGACGAUGCCACAACUCGAGUUUCCUAUCGAAUGAGAGUGAUCAUUUCCAUCAUCCGGUCCUUUGUCGUCGAUAUCAUCUGGGAUAUUGUCUAAAUCGAGGUCACUAAAAUCUUCAUCUCCGUGAUCAGAACAACUAUUAUUAUCGGAUCUGUAACACCCCUUACCCGAGACUGUUUUCGGAGUCGAGCAUGAGGCGUUACUUGACUUAACUUGAAAGUUCGGGGCAUAAAAUUUUACUUUUGAAAUUAAUUUCACUAUUCACAACAAAUCUGUCCACCUGCGCAAUAGUUACUAAAUUAAUUAUAAAUCGAUCUACGAAACUCAAAAUUUAGAUCUGUAAAUUUUCCCUGAAACUAGACUCAUACAUAUUUUUACCAUAAAUUUUUCAGAAUUUUUGGUUCAGCCAAUUAGUAUAGUUUAUUAGUUAAAUUCUCCCCUAUUUCACUGAUCGACUGUCCUGACCUCUUGUCACUAAAAUUUAAUUAUCUCAUUGUACAGACUUCAUAUGGUGUUAUCACUUAUUUCUACAGAAAAUGGACUCAAUAAGGAAUCUAGAC
Molecule: long non-coding RNA, 767 nt
Filed under: Gossypium barbadense (sea-island cotton)
Lineage: Eukaryota; Viridiplantae; Streptophyta; Magnoliopsida; Malvales; Malvaceae
Description: long non-coding RNA (GBAR_LNC019826)
Source: RNAcentral